GACAGAGGGUGCAAACGUUGCUCGGAAUCAUUGGGCGUAAAGCGCGUGUAGGUGGCUCUCCACGUCGGGUGUGAAAGCCCGGGGCUCAACCCCGGCAGUGCACCCGAAACGAGGGAGCUAGAGUGCUGGAGAGGCGGGUGGAAUUCCCGGUGUAGAGGUGAAAUUCGUAGAUAUCGGGAGGAACACCGGUGGCGAAGGCGACCCGCUGGCCAGCAACUGACACUGAGACGCGAAAGCGUGGGGAGCAAACGGG
Molecule: ribosomal RNA, 253 nt
Filed under: uncultured bacterium
Lineage: Bacteria
Description: partial 16S ribosomal RNA
Rfam family: Bacterial small subunit ribosomal RNA
Source: RNAcentral